CGGAGGGUGCAAGCGUUAUCCGGAUUCGACUGGGUUUAAAGGGAGCGCAGGCGGAUUUGUAAGUCAGUGGUGAAAGGCUUAAGCUUAACUUGGGAACUGCCAUUGAUACUAUAAGUCUUGAAUGUUGUUGAGGUUUGCGGAAUGGGUCAUGUAGCGGUGAAAUGCAUAGAUAUGACCCGGAACACCUAUUGCGAAGGCAGCAGGCUAAACAAAUAUUGACGCUGAGGCUCGAAAGCGUGGGGAUCAAACAGGAUUAGAUACCCUGGUAGUCCACGCCCUAAACUAUGAUUACUCGACAUAUGCGAUACACUGUAUGUGUCUGAGCGAAAGCAUUAAGUAAUCCACCUGGGAAGUACGACCGCAAGGUUG
RNAcentral lists this ribosomal RNA (369 nucleotides) under uncultured organism. RNAcentral describes it as "bacterial SSU rRNA". It matches the Rfam family "Bacterial small subunit ribosomal RNA", at positions 526 to 896 of the family's 1533-position model. The record is from RNAcentral.